This is a non-coding RNA of Trichonephila clavata, 73 nucleotides long. NCBI's taxonomy places the organism in Eukaryota, Metazoa, Arthropoda, Arachnida, Araneae, Nephilidae. The record is from the annotation of a GenBank genome assembly.
CUUCCUGUGGCGCAGAGGUUAGCGCGUUGGACUUCUAAUUCGAAGGUCGUGGGUUCGAAUCCCACCUGGUAUU